CCGUAUUCCCUUCCUCUGAUCUUGAACUCAUUUGAGGUUGUGCCGUAUUCCCUUCCUCUGAUCUUGAACUCAUUUGAGGCUGUGCCGUAUUCCCUUCCUCUGAUCUUGAACUCAUUUGAGGCUGUGCCGUAUUCCCUUCCUCUGAUCUGGAAGUCACUUGCGGCUGAGCUGUAUUCUCAUCUUCCAAUUUUGAACUUCCUUGCAGCUGAGCCGUAUUCUCAUCUUCCAAUUGUGGCUGAGCUGUAUUCUCAUCUUCCAAUUGUGGCAGAGCUGUAUUCUCAUCCUCCAUUAGAGGUUGAGCCAUAUUCUGAUCCUCCGAUUGAGGAUGAACCAUAUUUGGAUCCUCUGAUUGAGGUUGAGCCAUAUUCUGAUCUUCUGAUUGAG
RNAcentral lists this long non-coding RNA (384 nucleotides) under Glycine max (soybean). RNAcentral's name for it is "long non-coding RNA (GMAX_LNC001345)". Lineage: Eukaryota; Viridiplantae; Streptophyta; Magnoliopsida; Fabales; Fabaceae. The record is from RNAcentral.